RNAcentral lists this ribosomal RNA (250 nucleotides) under uncultured prokaryote. RNAcentral's name for it is "partial 16S ribosomal RNA". It matches the Rfam family "Bacterial small subunit ribosomal RNA", at positions 524 to 773 of the family's 1533-position model. The record is from RNAcentral.
UACGGGGGGUGCAAGCGUUGUCCGGAUUUAUUGGGCGUAAAGCGUUCGUAGGCGGUACAUUAAGUCUGAAGUUAAAUCCUAGGGCUCAACUCUGGGUGGGCAUUGGAUACUGGUGAACCAGAAUGCGGCAGAGGUUAAGGGAAUUCCUGGUGUAGCGGUGAAAUGCGUAGAUAUCAGGAGGAACACCGGAGGCGAAAGCGCUUAACUGGGCCGAAAUUGACGCUGAGGAACGAAAGCCGGGGGAGCAAAU